UGAGGAAUAUUGGUCAAUGGACGAGAGUCUGAACCAGCCAAGUAGCGUGAAGGAUGACUGCCCUAUGGGUUGUAAACUUCUUUUAUAUGGGAAUAAAGUAUUCCACGUGUGGGAUUUUGUAUGUACCAUAUGAAUAAGGAUCGGCUAACUCCGUGCCAGCAGCCGCGGUAAUACGGAGGAUCCGAGCGUUAUCCGGAUUUAUUGGGUUUAAAGGGAGCGUAGGUGGAUUGUUAAGUCAGUUGUGAAAGUUUGCGGCUCAACCGUAAAAUUGCAGUUGAAACUGGCAGUCUUGAGUACAGUAGAGGUGGGCGGAAUUCGUGGUGUAGCGGUGAAAUGCUUAGAUAUCACGAAGAACUCCGAUUGCGAAGGCAGCUCACUAGACUGCAACUGACACUGAUGCUCGAAAGUGUGGGUAUCAAACAGGAUUAGAUACCCUGGUAGUCCACACAGUAAACGAUGAAUACUCGCUGUUUGCGAUAUACAGUAAGCGGCCAAGCGAAAGCAUUAAGUAUUCCACCUGGGGAGUACGCCGGCAACGGUGAAACUCAAAGGAAUUGACGGGGGCCCGCACAAGCGGAGGAACAUGUGGUUUAAUUCGAUGAUACGCGAGGAACCUUACCCGGGCUUAAAUUGCAUUUGAAUAUAUUGGAAACAGUAUAGCCGCAAGGCAAAUGUGAAGGUGCUGCAUGGUUGUCGUCAGCUCGUGCCGUGAGGUGUCGGCUUAAGUGCCAUAACGAGCGCAACCCUUAUCUUUAGUUACUAACAGGUCAUGCUGAGGACUCUAGAGAGACUGCCGUCGUAAGAUGUGAGGAAGGUGGGGAUGACGUCAAAUCAGCACGGCCCUUACGUCCGGGGCUACACACGUGUUACAAUGGGGGGUACAGAAGGCAGCUACCUGGUGACAGGAUGCUAAUCCCGAAAGCCUCUCUCAGUUCGGAUUGGAGUCUGCAACCCGACUCCAUGAAGUUGGAUUCGCUAGUAAUCGCGCAUCAGCCACGGCGCGGUGAAUACGUUCCC
Molecule: ribosomal RNA, 1017 nt
Filed under: uncultured bacterium
Lineage: Bacteria
Description: bacterial SSU rRNA
Rfam family: Bacterial small subunit ribosomal RNA
Source: RNAcentral